Molecule: small nuclear RNA, 164 nt
Organism: Protopterus annectens (West African lungfish)
Lineage: Eukaryota; Metazoa; Chordata; Ceratodontiformes; Protopteridae
Product: U1 spliceosomal RNA
Exons: 1
Source: RefSeq, a predicted model, not a curated record
AUAGUUGCAGGCUAUGAUAAUAUUAUGACCAAGAUUGUGGUUUCUGAAGGGUGAGACAUUUCCAUUGCACACUUUGAUGGGUUAAUUCCUGUGAUUUCCACAAAUGUGGGAAACUUAAUUACCUAAUUUGUUAUGGUGGGGGACUAUGUUUUAGCAGUUAUCAG